This 1736-nucleotide long non-coding RNA is filed under the name Mus musculus (house mouse). RNAcentral's name for it is "long non-coding RNA chr6:15811322-15813058". Lineage: Eukaryota; Metazoa; Chordata; Mammalia; Rodentia; Muridae. The record is from RNAcentral.
GCUCACUACUAGAUUAUUCACACCCCUCUAGAUUGACCUUUGAAAACUAAGUCAGCAAACCACCAACCAUUCACUCACUGGUAAUUAACCAAUUGACUGAGUAAAUAAUUCUGUAACAAAUGCAAUGUGUAGUUCCAGGCAUCAGCUUUAGGUAAUCGGUGAUGCAAAUCACUGCUUGGCCUCCAGCAGCAAUAAAAUUAGUGAGUAAAGUUUCCAACUUUACAUCCUUGCCAAGCUUUGUCUUCUUGCACCACCUGAUUCAAGCUCUGAACUGAAGAUGUUUCAAUUCACUGUUGGUCUGAGAAGUCAUUUACUGCCCAGAAGUUACCUAACUUGCCUCUAGAUCCAGGCCUUAUAUGUUAUUUUUCCCGGAGUUAUAAUAAAAUGCCCAAACCUGUUUUAACUAUUUAACUUUCACACUAAAUUAUAAAAAGGACAUUGAAUGAAUUGCUAUGGGAUUUUUUUUUAAAUAAUUAACUUUAAAUGUAAAUAUUUAAAUCUUUUUAAAUAAUUAACUUCAAAUGUAAAUAUUUAAAUUUGAGUUGCAAAUAUCAAUGGAAUUUCAAGGAAGUCUUGGAGAACACAAAUAAUAAGGGCAAAAGAAGGGGAGUUGCCAGGGCAAAAGAAUGCCAAUUCGUUGUUUUUGUUUGUUUUUGUUUUGCUUGGUUUUUGCUUUUGUUUCUUUUUGGGAAGUGGAGUCAGAAGUCAUUUCUUCUGAGAAGGGUAGAGACUAGAAGCGAUUCAGAAUGCAGAGUCUCUGGCAGACACUCAAUUUAUCUCUGGAAAGUGGGUCAUCAAAUAGGAACUGACAUGUUAUUUGUUCAUGCAAAUACAUAUUUUGAAAUAAUUAUUGAAAGUAUCGGAAGAAAGGCAGCAAGAAUUGUUGCUGUCUGAGAACUAUAACAAGGACAGCUAAAUAUAGUGGGCACUUAAAAGGUUUUGUCUUUUGAUCCCAUGAGUCCUUUUGUUUUGAAUGAACAAGUCAUAGACUCGAAGUCAUAUGCUGAAUCUUGGAAUUUAUUAGGAAGUCAAAAGGGUGCCAUUCUUUUGGAUGACAUCUUCUUUUAAGCAAAAUAUGGUUUAGGUGCUUGGAGGUAAAAUAAGACAAAUUGUGUUGAAGUAUAUAAAUGGUGUCCAUAUUAGGCUAUUGCAAAAACUAUUCACUUUUAAGAGCUCAGUGCUUACUGUUGGCAUUUUAAUAAUUUCUUCUCUAAAGAAGAGCAUUCAUCUGGGACAAAUGACUUGUUCCAUGGAGAGAAAAGUUAAUAUUUAAUAAGAGAAAACAUUUCACUUUUAUGCUUUCUUAAAUUUCAGCAAGCAUAUGAUUUUGAAAAGUAUCAAAAUGCCUGAAUAUCUUUGAAAUGUAAAGGUUAUGGUUUCUUUUUCUCCCUGUAUUCUUUUUUUUUUUUUAAUUCCAUUGUUUGUAAGUUGGCAAGCUGUCUUCAAAAACUUUUUCUAAAUGAAAAAACAUGGUGGGAUAAUGCAUUAUGUAAUUUCAUUCCAGGUUUGCAUUAAUAAAGUAUUAAUACUUGUAAGUUUGCAACUAGAGGUAGUACCGUGGCUGUCAUAUAUUACAGUACAUGCAAUUUGAUUGUUACAGAGUAGACAUCUGCCAGAAACAUUUCAGUUUAGCAUGAUGAAUUUACCUUACCCUGUCAAGAAUCACAUUACAAUGCCAAAGUGUUGCUUUGAAUAUAUGUUGAAAAACAGAAAUAAAUUUGUUGAGGUAGGGUUUC